AAUUAAACUAAAACAGAAACAAAAGGGGAUUUAGGGUUACCUUGCACCGUUUCAGAUGUUCAGACUCUUCUUCCUUCUUCACAAAACCCAACGGCGACGGCGCGGUGGGGAAAUUCAUCUUCUCCGACGAAGCGAACUCCAACGCCGCCAUAACCAGCGCCUCUUAGCUCUCUCCUCACACCUCUCCGUGUUUCGGAAUCUCAAACUCGCUCUGAUUUCACUUCAGAUCCCCUCUCGAUCUCGUCUCUCUCAUGAGAUCGACAUAAUCACAUCAUUCUCGCUAGCUCGCCCUUGCUGCCCUCGUUUGAAGUUGAUAUGAAGGUGUUGUGAUGAAGAUCGAAAGAGAGAAUUUUGUUGCCACAGAUUGGUACGAAGAGUUUUUGAGGAGUUGAUGUAUGAAGGUUAUUGAAGAAAGUUGAGAUUGCGAGAAGAAUACGAAUCCUUUCGAGUUGAUGACUCUUGUUUGAAGGUUGAGGUGUGAUUGAAGGUUGAUUGAAUAGUGGCGAAGAUUGAUGAUGGUGAAGAGAGAUGAAGAGCCUGAAGUUUUUUCUGUUAGAGUUCUUAUGUAAGUUUUUUGUGUAAUGAAGGAUAUAGAGAAGUUUUCUUGGUGAAGAAGGUGGAGGUUGGUUCAAGGUCGAUGAUAGAGGAGAGAGUUGCAGAGUGUUGAAGAUUGGGGAAUGGAGAGGGAAUGGUGAAGAUGAUGAUGUUGUGUGAAGAGAAUGAAAUCGAGAGACUCUGAAUUGGACUCAGCUUUGGAUUUAUGGAGGUGAAGGGAAGAGAGUCGAGGUUAUGGAAACUGAUUUGAACUGUCAAUUUUGGUCGUGAUCAUGUAUGUAUGGAUGCAGGGCAUGGUUUUCUUGGUCACUUCUGUUAGCAACUGUGGCAGUAUGAAGAGUUUGGUUUAAUGGCUGCAGUUUGGUUAAAAGAUAGUUGUCAAUUUUGAGUUAGUUUCCCCUUUUUUGUCUUAAUGCAGGAUUUCGUUGGAAUGGAAACAUGGCUUGAGGCUUCUUGUCUAGAUGAUGAAUGGUGUUGGCUGUUAGUUAAAUGUUGUUAACAUGAUUUGCUGGUAAUAGUUGGCUAAUUGGUGUAUGGUUUCUUUACGUCGCUGCAGGUACGGUUCUGGAGUUAGCUUGGAGCCUUUGUGGUAAAACUUAAAGAAUGCAUGGAGACGGAUUCGAGAUGGCAAGCAACGGCUACAGUGAAAACAACAUGGUGAAGACGCAUCCUCUUGGCGACCCCAGACUCAGAAUAUAUAUUACAUAACCUUCUCAUUUCUUUUCUGUAUAAUUUCCCAGUGUGUAUUGGAGAAUUCAUGAUGCUGAUGUAACUUGUUUGAAAUUGAAUGGUAAUUGAUGAAAAUCAAAUGAACUAAUGGAUAUGGAUUGAUGGAUGAAAUAUAUAUUUGAAGUGAUGUAAUGAAUGGACUUUCUCUUCCA
Vicia villosa (hairy vetch) is the source of this 1436-nucleotide long non-coding RNA. RefSeq lists it as uncharacterized. The transcript has 3 exons. The record is from RefSeq and is a predicted model, not a curated record. NCBI's taxonomy places the organism in Eukaryota, Viridiplantae, Streptophyta, Magnoliopsida, Fabales, Fabaceae.